UGGGGAAUCUUGCGCAAUGGCCGAAAGGCUGACGCAGCGACGCCGCGUGCGGGAGGAAGCUCUUCGGGGUGUAAACCGCUGUCAGGGGGGGCGAAGGUCCCGGGGAGGCAAUGCCCCGGGGAUGACGGUACCUCCAGAGGAAGCACCGGCUAACUCCGUGCCAGCAGCCGCGGUAAUACGGAGGGUGCGAGCGUUGUUCGGAAUUAUUGGGCGUAAAGCGCGCGUAGGCGGCCUGGUAAGUCUUACUGUGAAAGCCCGGGGCUCAACCCCGGGAGGCCAGGAGAUACUGCUGGGCUUGAGAGAGGCAGAGGCGAGUGGAAUUCCGGGUGUAGCGGUGGAAUGCGUAGAGAUCCGGAGGAACACCGGAGGCGAAGGCGGCUCGCUGGGCCUGUUCUGACGCUGAGGCGCGAAAGCGUGGGGAGCGAACAG
This 429-nucleotide ribosomal RNA is filed under the name uncultured organism. RNAcentral describes it as "bacterial SSU rRNA". It matches the Rfam family "Bacterial small subunit ribosomal RNA", at positions 355 to 775 of the family's 1533-position model. The record is from RNAcentral.